UAAGGAAUAUUGGUCAAUGGACGGAAGUCUGAACCAGCCAUGCCGCGUGCAGGAGGACGGCCCUAUGGGUUGUAAACUGCUUUUAUACGGGAACAAACGUCGGUACGUGUACCGGUCUGAGUGUACCGUAAGAAUAAGGAUCGGCUAACUCCGUGCCAGCAGCCGCGGUAAUACGGAGGAUCCGAGCGUUAUCCGGAAUUAUUGGGUUUAAAGGGUGCGUAGGCGGCCAGAUAAGUCAGGGGUGAAAGUCGGCAGCUCAACUGUCGCAGUGCCUUUGAUACUGUUUGGCUUGAAUUCGGUUGAAGAUGGCGGAAUGAGACAAGUAGCGGUGAAAUGCAUAGAUAUGUCUCAGAACACCGAUUGCGAAGGCAGUUAUCUAAGCCGUUAUUGACGCUGAUGCACGAAAGCGUGGGUAGCAAACAGGAUUAGAUACCCUGGUAGUCCACGCCCUAAACGAUGAUAACUCGAUGUUGGCGAUAUACAGUCAGCGUCUUAGCGAAAGCGUUAAGUUAUCCACAUGGGGAGUACGCCGGCAACGGNG
This 541-nucleotide ribosomal RNA is filed under the name uncultured bacterium. RNAcentral describes it as "bacterial SSU rRNA". It matches the Rfam family "Bacterial small subunit ribosomal RNA", at positions 355 to 896 of the family's 1533-position model. The record is from RNAcentral.